Molecule: ribosomal RNA, 3354 nt
Filed under: human gut metagenome
Description: eukaryotic LSU rRNA
Rfam family: Eukaryotic large subunit ribosomal RNA
Source: RNAcentral
ACUCUUCACGAUGGAUAUCUUGGCUCUUGAAUCGAUGAAGAACGCAGCGAACUGCGAUAUGUAAUGCGAACUGCAGAAGUCUGUGAGUCAUUGAAUCUUUGAACGCAUAUUGCACUUCCUUCGUCUUGUUGGGAGUAUGCUUGUUGGAGUGUGAUUUGACUUGUAUGUCUGUUCUUCUCUACUGUGUGGGGUUGAUACGACGAUGAUUGAUGGUGGUUGUUACAGUACUGUAGACCUCCAUUGAAAUGGAUGAUUUUGAUUGGUGGGUUAUUCAAUUGGUAAAUAUCAAUGAACAAUCCACCCUAACCUUCUUCUUUUCAUCUCCAAUCAAGCAAGAAGACCUGCUGAAUUGAAGCAUCUAACUAAGCAGAGGAAAAGAAAAUAACGAUGAUUCCCUUAGUAACGGCGAGUGAAGUGGGAAAAGCCCAAUCCGAAUUUGCUUCGGCAAAGUUGUGGAGUGUAUAAAGAUUGCGUAGUAGUGAGUGCGGUGAUAAUUGGAUUGGAAGGUCAAGUCAUAGAAGGUGAAAACCCUGUAUUUGCAUCGCGCUUGGAGAAAGCACUACUAGUUGAUAGGUAGCAAUGUUUAUUGGAGUCGAGUUGUUUGGGAUUGCAGCUCGAAGUUGGUGGUAAACUCCAUCAAAGGCUAAAUAUGUUCAGGAGACCGAUAGCGAACAAGUACCGUGAGGGAAAGAUGAAAAGCACUUUGAAAAAAGAGUGAAAUAGUACUUGAAAUCGUGGAGGGGUUAAGCGUAGGAGUGGUUGAAUGAUGUAUGUGUUGUGGUGGUUGGCGGUAGUUGUUAAUCAUUAGAACAUGUGCAAAUGUGUGUGUGUGGUUAUCGUCGAUGUAAGAUCUUUCUCACACCAACGAUGACCCACUUCCACGUAAUAACCACUUCUCCGUCCCGUCUUGAAACACGGACCAAGGAGUCUAUCAUAUUUGCGAGUAGUUUAGUGGUAAACUAAAAUGCGGAAUGAAGGUGAUAUUUGUGAAGCUCAAAGAGCGAGCAGCAACAAAUACCGGUCUUGCAUCUUGGAUAAAGGAUUCGAGUAGUAGCAAAGAUGGUGGGACCCGAAAGAUGGUGAACUAUGCCUGAAUAGGACGAAGCCAGGGGAAACUCUGGUGGAGGUUCGAGUGGAUUCUAACGUGCAAAUUGAUCUUUAAAUUUGGGUAUAGGGGCGAAAGACUAAUCGAACCAUCUAGUAGCUGGUUCCUUCCGAAAUUUCCCUCAGGAUAGCUGCAACUGGUGUUAGUUUUAUGAGGUAAAGCGAAUGAUUAGAGGAUUCUGGGAUGUAAUAUCCUGGACCUAUUCUCAAACUUUGAAUGGGUAAGAUAUUGUGGUUGCUUGAGUGAACCAUGAUUUGGAAUAGUGAUAAGUUGCAAGUGGGCCAUUCCGGGUAAGCUGGACUGGCGAUGCGGGAUCAACCGAACGAUAUGGUACGGCGCCUAAUUGUUCGCUCAGUUGGAUAGAAAAGGUGUUAGUUCAUCUAGACAGCAGGACGGUGGCCAUGGAAGUCGGAAUCCGCUAAGGAGUGUGUAACAACUCACCUGCCGAAUGAAGUAGCCCUGAAAAUGGAUGGCGCUUAAGCGAGCAGCCUAACCAUGUCUGUCGUUUCAAUGGUAGCUAUGCUUGCACGGAACGACAUGUAGGAAGGCGUGAUGGAUAGAAUAAAGAAGUAUAGGUGUAAACCUGUAUGGAAUGUCCAUUAGUGCAGAUCUUGGUGGAAGUAGCAAAUAUUCAAAUGAGAUCUUUGAAGACUGAAGUGGAGAAAGGUUCCAUAGGAAUCGUGUUGAACUAUGGGUUAGUCGGUCCUAAGAGAUAGGUGAAAUCCGUUGAAAAGGCAGUGGCGUUGAGCAUCUGCCUCCGAUCGAAAGGGAAUCAGGUUAAUAUUCCUGAACCGAUGAGAUGGAAGUGAAUGGUAACAGAGCGUAAUAGCAUGACAUCGGUUACUCUCCUGGGAAGAGUUUUCUUUUCUUGUUAACAAUAAUAAAAGCUUGGAAAGGAAUGAAUCCGCGAAAAGGUUUUGUUAUUGGCAAAGGAAUUCAAUGUUUUGAAUUCUCCGGUGCAGAGUAAUGGGUCCUUGAAAAGUGGUAUUACUGGUUGCCCUAUGGGCUUAAUGACACAUCUCAUCGUCCGUACUAAUAACCGCAUCAGGUCUCCAAGGUGAAUAGCCUCUAGUUAAUAGAAUAAUGUAGAUAAGGGAAGUCGGCAAAUUAGAUCCGUAACUUCGGGAAAAGGAUUGGCUCUGAGGGCUAGGUGUGGCUGUCCGUGUCAUUUCUGAUGAUUGGUGGCCAUCUUUUCUUGGCAUUUCCUUGUUGGAAAUGAGUGUGGUUGGGGUGGGUGGAUUCUUUCGGGAGUCUAGCUGUCGUGACCACCACUUACCUCCUCUUGGAGCCUUGAAAAGAAACACAAUGAAUAGCUGACUCAGAACUGGUACGGACAAGGGGAAUCCGACUGUUUAAUUAAAACAAAGCAUUGUGAUAGUGUGAAAGAUAUAUUGACACAAUGUGAAUUCUGCCCAGUGCUCUGAAUGUCAAAGUGAAGGAAUUCAACCAAGCGCGGGUAAACGGCGGGAGUAACUAUGACUCUCUUAAGGUAGCCAAAUGCCUCGUCAUCUAAUUAGUGACGCGCAUGAAUGGAUUAAUGAGAUUCCCACUGUCCCUAUCUACUAUCUAGCGAAACCACAGCCAAGGGAACGGGCUUGGAAGUAUCAGCGGGGAAAGAAGACCCUGUUGAGCUUGACUCUAGUCUGACAUUGUGAAAUGACUUAGAGGGUGUAGAAUAGGUGGGAGAGUCUGUAAUAGGACUCGCAGGUGAAAUACCACUACCUCUAAUGUUGUUUUACUUAUUCCAUGAUAUGGGGGUGUGGUGGUCAUUGAUCACCACCUUAAUGAACAACGGUUGCUUCGGUAACCUGACCCACGUGGGAGACAUUGUUAGGUGGGGAGUUCGGCUGGGGCGGCACAUCUGUUAAAGAAUAACACAGGUGUCCUAAGAUGAGCUCAGUAAGAACAGAAAUCUUACGUAGAAUAAAAGGGUAAAAGCUCAUUUGAUUUUGAUUUUCAGUAUGAAUACAAACUACGAAAAUAUGGCCUAUCGAUCCUUUAGAUGCAUUAAAAUUUGGAGUUUAAAGCUAGAGGUGUCAGAAAAGUUACCACAGGGAUAACUGGCUUGUGGCGGCCAAGCGUUCAUAGCGACGUCGCUUUUUGAUUCUUCGAUGUCGGCUCUUCCUACCAAUACCUUGCAGACUGGGUAAAAUGUGAGAUUGUUCAUCUCAAAAUAGGGAACGUGAGCUGGGUUUAGACCGUCGUGAGACAGGUUAGUUUUACCCUACUGAUGAAGCGUUGUCGUGAUA